This 682-nucleotide long non-coding RNA is filed under the name Theropithecus gelada (gelada). Its description in RNAcentral is "lncRNA (ENSTGEG00000002793.1)". The stretch from base 167 to 292 matches the Rfam family "X-chromosome inactivation gene exon 4". Lineage: Eukaryota; Metazoa; Chordata; Mammalia; Primates; Cercopithecidae. The record is from RNAcentral.
ACUGAACCCUGUCUUUCUUCUCAAGGACAUUCUGAGCAUGUGAGACCCGAGGACUGCAAACAGCUGCAAGAGGCUUCAAAUUCAGCAUAUCGUUCCUUUUGAGAAUCUGGCCAAGCUCCAGCAAAUCUACUUGGAUGGGUUGCCAGCCACCUGGAGAAGAAGAUCUUCCUCAGAAGAAUAGGCUUGUUGCUUUACAGUGUUAGUGAUCCAUUCCCUUUGACGAUCCCUAGGUGGAGAUGGGGCAUGAGGAUCCUCCAGGGGAAAAGCUCACUACCACUGGGCAACAACCCUAGGUCAGGAGGUUCUGUCAGGAUACUUUCCUGGUCCCAGAUAGGAAGAUAAAGUCUCAAAAACAACCACCACACGUCAAGGAGAACAUGGACAACUGUCACAUCAGUGACAUUGAUCACAUGGGCAAAUCAUUCUGUUCCAUCUGGUCCCCAAAGUCUCUCUUAAAGCCUUACAGAAGAACUUUGCCAAUCAUUUACAUACUUCGGGAUGGCUUGGGAUGCCAUGGGAUAUAAUACGACAAGUGAGAGCUCUUCAUUGUUCCUAUCUGCCAAAUCAUUACACUUCCUACAAGCAGUGCAGAGAACUGAGUCUUCAGCAGGUCCAAGAAAUUUGAACACAUUGAAGGAGGUCAGCCUUCCUACCUGAAGAUCAACAUGCUUGGCACUCUAGC